GCCAGACUCCUACGGGAGGCAGCAGUGGGGAAUAUUGCACAAUGGGGGAAACCCUGAUGCAGCGACGCCGCGUGAGUGAAGAAGUAAUUCGUUAUGUAAAGCUCUAUCAGCAGGGAAGAAGAUGACAGUACCUGAGUAAGAAGCCCCGGCUAACUACGUGCCAGCAGCCGCGGUAAUACGUAGGGGGCAAGCGUUAUCCGGAUUUACUGGGUGUAAAGGGAGCGUAGACGGUUGUAUAAGUCUGGAGUGAAAGCCCGGGGCCCAACCCCGGGACUGCUUUGGAAGCUGUGUAACUUGAGUACAGGAGGGGCAGGCGGAAUUCCUGGUGUAGCGGUGAAAUGCGUAGAUAUCAGGAGGAACACCGGCGGCGAAGGCGGCCUGCUGGACUGAAACUGACGUUGAGGCUCGAAAGCGUGGGGAGCAAACAGGAUUAGAUACCCUAGUAAU
Molecule: ribosomal RNA, 447 nt
Filed under: uncultured bacterium
Lineage: Bacteria
Description: bacterial SSU rRNA
Rfam family: Bacterial small subunit ribosomal RNA
Source: RNAcentral